Erythranthe guttata (spotted monkey flower) is the source of this 489-nucleotide long non-coding RNA. RefSeq lists it as uncharacterized. NCBI's taxonomy places the organism in Eukaryota, Viridiplantae, Streptophyta, Magnoliopsida, Lamiales, Phrymaceae. The record is from RefSeq and is a predicted model, not a curated record.
AAAGAAAUCAUUCUGUGAAAAUGGAAGCACCGAAAACUAAAAAAAAAACAAAAAAAAAAAAAAGAAGAAGAAGAAAAAGUGGCUUUGACAAUGGAAUGGCUCUCUGUAAUAAAAAAAAUCCGAGGUCGGCCAUUGAUCCAAGCAUGGCAGGAGUAGCAGGUACAUAUGUCUUGGACUUAAACGAAGUCUAAGCAUGGGUGGCUUGCAAUGUAAACUAUAUUUGCGGAGAGGAUUCUUCAGUUCAUCGACAAAUAUUGAUCCUCUACAAGAGCACUCGGAUCAUGAGAUACGAGAGGUUUUCUUGCAAUCCGACAGGAAUUUUACGCAAAUAUUCCCGCUGAGAGUGUGACGCAAGGAUGAAACAUUGGAAAAUUAAAUAUAAUAGCCACCACAUAUGUAUGAAUGUAUAGGGUAAUUGGUUUGCGAACAUUAUUUAUUUCAUUUUGUUAAUGCAAAUUAAUACAAAAACUAAUUAAACUUGUUUUUUUU